GACGAACGCUGGCGGCGUGCCUAAUACAUGCAAGUUGAGCGCUGAAGGUUGGUACUUGUACCAACUGGAUGAGCAGCGAACGGGUGAGUAACGCGUGGGGAAUCUGUCUUUGAGCGGGGGACAACAUUUGGAAACGAAUGCUAAUACCGCAUAAAAACUUUAAACACAAGUUUUAAGUUUGAAAGAUGCAAUUGCAUCACUCAAAGAUGAUCCCGCGUUGUAUUAGCUAGUUGGUGAGGUAAAGGCUCACCAAGGCGAUGAUACAUAGCCGACCUGAGAGGGUGAUCGGCCACAUUGGGACUGAGACACGGCCCAAACUCCUACGGGAGGCAGCAGUAGGGAAUCUUCGGCAAUGGACGAAAGUCUGACCGAGCAACGCCGCGUGAGUGAAGAAGGUUUUCGGAUCGUAAAACUCUGUUGGUAGAGAAGAACGUUGGUGAGAGUGGAAAGCUCAUCAAGUGACGGUAACUACACAGAAAGGGACGGCUAACUACGUG
Molecule: ribosomal RNA, 497 nt
Filed under: uncultured bacterium
Lineage: Bacteria
Description: partial 16S ribosomal RNA
Rfam family: Bacterial small subunit ribosomal RNA
Source: RNAcentral